Molecule: long non-coding RNA, 406 nt
Filed under: Monodelphis domestica (gray short-tailed opossum)
Lineage: Eukaryota; Metazoa; Chordata; Mammalia; Didelphimorphia; Didelphidae
Description: lncRNA (ENSMODG00000030371.2)
Source: RNAcentral
AAAAUUCCCUAUAUAAGGAGAUAACAGUCUCCUAAGAAAAAACAGUGUCUUGAAGAGUCUCUUGAAUACAGUCUCUAAGGAGGCUUUUGGGAGAGAGCUCUGGAAACAGGCUCUUGGGACAGUCUCUGGCUGGAAAUCCCUUUGAGGAGGACUCUGGCUGGAACUCCCUCUAAGGAGACUCUGUCUCUCCCGCUCAGCUGGGAAAUUUGAAUUGCAGCUGGUGCCUCUCUGAUCACUAGAAUCCUUGCUUGGACAGAUCUUGUGGUCCCUUCCCCCACAAAGAAGGAAACAAAAGCAUAAAAAAAGAAGAGGACCAUUAGAAGUACAUAAAAGAAGAGCUUUCUUUCUCUGGGUGUGGAUCAUGUUCUUUCUCAUUAAUCCCUCAGAAUUGUCCUGGAUCAUUGUA